UGAAGAAAUUCAACCAAGCGCG
This 22-nucleotide small nuclear RNA is filed under the name Arabidopsis thaliana (thale cress). RNAcentral's name for it is "snRNA_05504". Lineage: Eukaryota; Viridiplantae; Streptophyta; Magnoliopsida; Brassicales; Brassicaceae. The record is from RNAcentral.